AGGAAAGCGUUUACCUGCUGCGACGAGACUGCCAAAGGCCCAUCCUGAAACCUGGCACACAAAAAUGGAUCCAGUCCAGACUGAAUAACUGGCCUCCCCUCUAGUCAGCAUCCCCAGAGACAUGUCAAGGACGCAGUCCACAGAAGGAACUGACAAAUAUUUUCUGGCUUGCACAGAAGUGCUGGGAUCUACCAUCAUCUCAUCUUCCUGGAGGCUGCACUGAGACUCUGUGAUAGCAGACAUCCUGGAACGGCCACGCACAGCUUUGGAAACAGGAAUCCAGGGACACUCAGACACUUGCAAUUGAUGGAGUGCUCACAAAGUGCAGAACAGUGAGGAAUAAGGUGUGGUUAAAAGGACCUUUUCCAAUAACAAAGUGCAGGACAAAGCAGUGCAGGUGGG
This is a long non-coding RNA of Manacus vitellinus (golden-collared manakin), 402 nucleotides long. RefSeq lists it as uncharacterized. The record is from RefSeq and is a predicted model, not a curated record. The transcript is spliced from 3 exons. Lineage: Eukaryota; Metazoa; Chordata; Aves; Passeriformes; Pipridae.